Long non-coding RNA from Heterocephalus glaber (naked mole-rat), 483 nucleotides. RefSeq lists it as uncharacterized. Lineage: Eukaryota; Metazoa; Chordata; Mammalia; Rodentia; Bathyergidae. The record is from RefSeq and is a predicted model, not a curated record.
CACAAACUAACUUGGAGCCCUGAGGAGACAUGCAGGGUUCUCAAACUGACCCACUGCAGAGAUCCAGGGCCGGUCGUUCCUUGUGAGCUUUUGAAUGUUGUGCGGGCAGCACAGGUCCUGACUUCCCUAAGGAGGCACUACUGACACAGCUGCACUUUGAAGAAAAGCCAGGCUCCAGAACUCCCGGAGGACACCAGAACCCAGGGAUGCUGGAGUCUCCUAGAAAAUGACUUAGAACCUGCACGUAACCUGCUCCUAGCCUCUGAUGCAUGUCUGCUCUACAUUUCCUAUGACAGCUGGUACAAUGGAUCGAACUCAGGUCCUUCCACUUGCGAGGCAGGCAGCAGAACCACUGAGCUAGAUUACCGGCCCCAAGGGUCACCAUUUCUGAUGAAGAAGUGAUCCAUGUUCAGCUACCAGCAGCUCACUGGGAUGCAGUCCUUCUGUACCGCAAGCAUGUGCCAAUAAACCCUAAAAACUGAA